RNAcentral lists this ribosomal RNA (442 nucleotides) under uncultured bacterium. RNAcentral describes it as "partial 16S ribosomal RNA". It matches the Rfam family "Bacterial small subunit ribosomal RNA", at positions 338 to 795 of the family's 1533-position model. The record is from RNAcentral.
CCUACGGGUGGCAGCAGUGGGGAAUAUUGGGCAAUGGGCGAAAGCCUGACCCAGCAACGCCGCGUGAAGGAAGAAGGCUUUCGGGUUGUAAACCUCUUUUGACAGGGAAGAGAAGAAGACGGUACCUGUCGAAUAAGCCACGGCUAACUACGUGCCAGCAGCCGCGGUAAUACGUAGGUGGCAAGUGUUGUCCGGAUUUACUGGGUGGAAAGGGCGUGUAGCCGGGCUGACAAGUCAGAUGUGAAAUCCGGGGGCUCAACCCCCGAACUGCAUUUGAAACUGUUGGUCUUGAGUGUCGGAGAGGCAGGCGGAAUUCCUGGUGGAGCGGUGAAAUGCGUAGAGAUUAGGAGGAACACCAGUGGCGAAGGCGGCCUGCUGGACGACAACUGACGGUGAGGCGCGAAAGCGUGGGGAGCAAACAGGAUUAGAUACCCUUGUAGUC